This 2925-nucleotide ribosomal RNA is filed under the name Klebsiella aerogenes. RNAcentral's name for it is "partial 23S ribosomal RNA". It matches the Rfam family "Bacterial large subunit ribosomal RNA". The record is from RNAcentral. Lineage: Bacteria; Pseudomonadati; Pseudomonadota; Gammaproteobacteria; Enterobacterales; Enterobacteriaceae.
GGGUUGUGAGGUUAAGCGACUAAGCGUACACGGUGGAUGCCCUGGCAGUCAGAGGCGAUGAAGGACGUGCUAAUCUGCGAAAAGCGUCGGUAAGGUGAUAUGAACCGUUACAGCCGGCGAUGUCCGAAUGGGGAAACCCAGUGUGAUUCGUCACACUAUCGUUAACUGAAUACAUAGGUUAACGAGGCGAACCGGGGGAACUGAAACAUCUAAGUACCCCGAGGAAAAGAAAUCAACCGAGAUUCCCCCAGUAGCGGCGAGCGAACGGGGAGCAGCCCAGAGUCUGAAUCAGCUUGUGUGUUAGUGGAACGGUCUGGAAAGUCCGACGGUACAGGGUGAUAGUCCCGUACACCAAAAUGCACAGGCUGUGAACUCGAAGAGUAGGGCGGGACACGUGGUAUCCUGUCUGAAUAUGGGGGGACCAUCCUCCAAGGCUAAAUACUCCUGACUGACCGAUAGUGAACCAGUACCGUGAGGGAAAGGCGAAAAGAACCCCGGCGAGGGGAGUGAAAAAGAACCUGAAACCGUGUACGUACAAGCAGUGGGAGCACCUUCGGGUGUGACUGCGUACCUUUUGUAUAAUGGGUCAGCGACUUAUAUUCUGUAGCAAGGUUAACCGUAUAGGGGAGCCGCAGGGAAACCGAGUCUUAACUGGGCGUUAAGUUGCAGGGUAUAGACCCGAAACCCGGUGAUCUAGCCAUGGGCAGGUUGAAGGUUGGGUAACACUAACUGGAGGACCGAACCGACUAAUGUUGAAAAAUUAGCGGAUGACUUGUGGCUGGGGGUGAAAGGCCAAUCAAACCGGGAGAUAGCUGGUUCUCCCCGAAAGCUAUUUAGGUAGCGCCUCGUGAAUUCAUCUUCGGGGGUAGAGCACUGUUUCGGCUAGGGGGUCAUCCCGACUUACCAACCCGAUGCAAACUACGAAUACCGAAGAAUGUUAUCACGGGAGACACACGGCGGGUGCUAACGUCCGUCGUGAAGAGGGAAACAACCCAGACCGCCAGCUAAGGUCCCAAAGUCACAGUUAAGUGGGAAACGAUGUGGGAAGGCACAGACAGCCAGGAUGUUGGCUUAGAAGCAGCCAUCAUUUAAAGAAAGCGUAAUAGCUCACUGGUCGAGUCGGCCUGCGCGGAAGAUGUAACGGGGCUAAACUGUGCACCGAAGCUGCGGCAGCGACACUAUGUGUUGUUGGGUAGGGGAGCGUUCUGUAAGCCUGCGAAGGUGGCCUGUGAGGGUUGCUGGAGGUAUCAGAAGUGCGAAUGCUGACAUAAGUAACGAUAAUGCGGGUGAAAAGCCCGCACGCCGGAAGACCAAGGGUUCCUGUCCAACGUUAAUCGGGGCAGGGUGAGUCGACCCCUAAGGCGAGGCCGAAAGGCGUAGUCGAUGGGAAACAGGUUAAUAUUCCUGUACUUGGUGUUACUGCGAAGGGGGGACGGAGAAGGCUAUGUUAGCCGGGCGACGGUUGUCCCGGUUUAAGCAUGUAGGCGGAGGUUCCAGGUAAAUCCGGUACCUUUUAACGCUGAGGUGUGAUGACGAGGCACUACGGUGCUGAAGUAACAAAUGCCCUGCUUCCAGGAAAAGCCUCUAAGCAUCAGGUAACAUUAAAUCGUACCCCAAACCGACACAGGUGGUCAGGUAGAGAAUACCAAGGCGCUUGAGAGAACUCGGGUGAAGGAACUAGGCAAAAUGGUGCCGUAACUUCGGGAGAAGGCACGCUGAUAUGUAGGUGAAGCCCCUGCGGGUGGAGCUGAAAUCAGUCGAAGAUACCAGCUGGCUGCAACUGUUUAUUAAAAACACAGCACUGUGCAAACACGAAAGUGGACGUAUACGGUGUGACGCCUGCCCGGUGCCGGAAGGUUAAUUGAUGGGGUUAUCCGUAAGGAGAAGCUCUUGAUCGAAGCCCCGGUAAACGGCGGCCGUAACUAUAACGGUCCUAAGGUAGCGAAAUUCCUUGUCGGGUAAGUUCCGACCUGCACGAAUGGCGUAAUGAUGGCCAGGCUGUCUCCACCCGAGACUCAGUGAAAUUGAACUCGCUGUGAAGAUGCAGUGUACCCGCGGCAAGACGGAAAGACCCCGUGAACCUUUACUAUAGCUUGACACUGAACAUUGAGCCUUGAUGUGUAGGAUAGGUGGGAGGCUUUGAAGCGUGGACGCCAGUCUGCGUGGAGCCAACCUUGAAAUACCACCCUUUAAUGUUUGAUGUUCUAACGUUGGCCCCUUAUCGGGGUUGCGGACAGUGUCUGGUGGGUAGUUUGACUGGGGCGGUCUCCUCCCAAAGAGUAACGGAGGAGCACGAAGGUUAGCUAAUCCUGGUCGGACAUCAGGAGGUUAGUGCAAUGGCAUAAGCUAGCUUGACUGCGAGCGUGACGGCGCGAGCAGGUGCGAAAGCAGGUCAUAGUGAUCCGGUGGUUCUGAAUGGAAGGGCCAUCGCUCAACGGAUAAAAGGUACUCCGGGGAUAACAGGCUGAUACCGCCCAAGAGUUCAUAUCGACGGCGGUGUUUGGCACCUCGAUGUCGGCUCAUCACAUCCUGGGGCUGAAGUAGGUCCCAAGGGUAUGGCUGUUCGCCAUUUAAAGUGGUACGCGAGCUGGGUUUAGAACGUCGUGAGACAGUUCGGUCCCUAUCUGCCGUGGGCGCUGGAGAAUUGAGGGGGGCUGCUCCUAGUACGAGAGGACCGGAGUGGACGCAUCACUGGUGUUCGGGUUGUCAUGCCAAUGGCAUUGCCCGGUAGCUAAAUGCGGAAGAGAUAAGUGCUGAAAGCAUCUAAGCACGAAACUUGCCCCGAGAUGAGUUCUCCCUGACUCCUUGAGAGUCCUGAAGGAACGUUAAAGACGAUGACGUUGAUAGGUCGGGUGUGUAAGCGUAGCGAUACGUUGAGCUAACCGAUACUAAUGAACCGUGAGGCUUAACCUUACAACGCCGAAG